GCCGCCGUGGCGCAGUGGCCCAGCGUAUUGGCUGUACACGCGAUGGUUGUGGGUUCGAAUCCCACUCUUGGGA
Molecule: transfer RNA, 73 nt
Filed under: Heliconius melpomene (postman butterfly)
Lineage: Eukaryota; Metazoa; Arthropoda; Insecta; Lepidoptera; Nymphalidae
Description: tRNA HMEL011669
Source: RNAcentral